RNAcentral lists this non-coding RNA (28 nucleotides) under Homo sapiens (human). The record is from RNAcentral. Lineage: Eukaryota; Metazoa; Chordata; Mammalia; Primates; Hominidae.
UGGGAUAUAAUCUCCUGUUGUGCUGUUU